RNAcentral lists this long non-coding RNA (7209 nucleotides) under Trifolium pratense (red clover). RNAcentral describes it as "long non-coding RNA (TPRA_LNC001848)". The record is from RNAcentral. Lineage: Eukaryota; Viridiplantae; Streptophyta; Magnoliopsida; Fabales; Fabaceae.
UAAAACUUUGAGGCUUUUGCAAUGGGACAAAGAUUUAGGCAAAAGGCCUUCUAAUAGGUUUCCAUUAAGAUUUAGAAUGUAAAGGGACUCCGAAAAGUUACUCCAAUUUGUCUUCUAAUCUAUUGCUUCCAAGAUUUAAAAUGUUCAGGUAUUUGCAAUGGGACAAAGAUUUAGGCAAAAGGCCUUCUAAUAGGUUUCCAUUAAGAUUUAGAAUGGAAAUGUCCUUUGAAAAGUUACUUGGCAAAGUGCCAUGAAAUUUGUUCAUAUGUAGAUCCAAAAUUUUAAGGGGUUGAAAAUUUGAAAAACAUUGUGGAAUGAGACCAGUCAAAUUGUUGUGUCCCAAGUUCAGAAAAACUUAUAUUGCAAACUGCUAAAGGGAUGCCACCGUACAUAGAGAUGUUCAUUAUUCACUGCCAUUUCAACCAAUUGAACUGUUGAUGUGAACAAGUUUUGAGAGAGGUUUAAAACGUUCAAAUGAUUUGUUUCAAUUAAGCAAUUGGGCAUUCCAUUAAGUUUGUUAUUGGAAAGAUCAAGCAAAAUCAAAUUUGUCAAAUUUCCUUGUAAUUUGUGAAAUUCAAUCAGAUUGACAGAAGACAAUUCUAAGAGACAUUAGAUAGCUUGGAUUGUUCCAUUUAAAAUCAACCGAGUUAGCUUGGAUUGAUAGAAGACAUUUCUGUAAUUCUAUGCCACCCAAAACUCGGUCUCUUCAUUGUUGUUAAAACCGCGACGCAUAAACUCGAUCGAUUUUACGUUUUUAGGUAUGAAAAAUGUGUUAAAUCAGAUGCAAACUCAUUUUUUGGUAAACUCGGGAAAAAAACAAGUUUACACCGAGUUAACUCGGUCAAACUCGCUGAAAUCGUGUAAACUCAUCACACGAGUUUACUUGUGAUUGCGAGUUUACCUUUAAAGGUCCAUUUUCAUUUUUGGCCCAAUUUUUUUUUGUCUAGUUGUCAAAAUAAACAAUUUUUCUCGGCUCUACCUUCAAUGAGCUUGAUCUUUGGUUCUAACAUUGAAAAUUCUUUAUCAUAUGGAGAAGAAUUUGUUGAUUUUGAAGAUGAAAACAUAGAUGAAAAUGAUGGUAAAACCUUCUAGUAAAAUUGAACUUUUAAAAAGAGUAACUCUGAUUUUUUUGUGUACUUUAACUUUUUACCGAUUUUAUAAACUUAUGAACAUUUUUAUCUAGAUUGUUAUUUGGACGUUUAUAUGAUUUGGUGGGAUAAUUAUAUAUUUUAAUACAAGUUUAAUGCUAUUUAUACGAUGAUUUGAUAGAUUUUGCCUGUUUAUAUUUUGAAAUAUUGACGUUUUUAUAGUAUUAUACUACUCCCUCCGUCCCAAAAUAAAUGACAUAGUUGACCACUGUCACGUUUGCCAUUGUACAACUUGAAUCGUUAAUAUCUUAAAUUAUAUUUUAUUAAAAAUUAUAUAUUUUGAAAAUACUCAUCGAGACAAAUCAAACAUCUCAUAUGCUAAUAUUUGCAUUUAUAUAUUUAGAAACCCACCAAACAUAGAAUGAAAAUGAGAGUGAAGGAAAUUAAUGUAAGAAAGGAAAUUAAUGGAAAAGUGUACCAGUGACCAGAGAUGGUGAUGUGACAUGUGACACCAUGCCAGGAGCAACAAUCAGUCCCCUUUUUCCAUGUUGCUGAAGAUACACCUAAUCUUGUUGAACUUGCAUCCACGUUCAGCAAUGUCAAGUUUGUGACUGGGUUCACCUAUUUCUAUUACAAGAAUGGUAGUUUUGAUUCUUUGGACAUAAUUGAAAUUAAUCUACAACAGGUGUUCAUGAGUUGUCAAUUGCUUUACAUGUUCACAUUUGGAGCUACUUCAAUACUCUAUUUUAUGAUGAUUAUUGGUCUGUGUGGAAGGAUCAUCACUACUAUUUUAAUCAUAAUGCAAGUUUAAUUGUUCAAGUUGCAUUUACUUUUAAAAUGAUAGCGAGAACUUAUGGUUCUGAACUGAUGAUGGUUAUGAGUUAUGGUGAGAAUUGGUAUUUUGAUAAUUUCUUUUGUGUAGUUAAUAAGUUGGACUGCUACAGAUAUAUGGAAGAUGCAGAAUUAGUGAUUCAAGUUUAUGUGUGAUGAUGUUGAUAUUAUUCGAACAUUCACCGCAAAGAAGUCUCGGAAAGGGCAUUUGCCUCCUAAUUUUAUUUAGUACACCAUUGGGAUGUUAUGUUGUUUCUCUCUUAAUUUCAAAUUGUACUUUUGUUGACAAAAUUGUGCACCAUUGGAAUGUUAUGUUGUUUCUCUCUUAAAUCGCAAAACUUAUAUUUAACGGCAAAAUUUUGCCCAGGCUUUUUAAAAUUCCUGGCUCCGCCUAUGCACAUGACCAUUGUGUGCAUAUUAAUUAAUUAAUUAUAUUAUUAGUAAUAUGAAGUUGAAGAAUGUUUUAGUAGACAAGCAUAAAAUUAAUCUACAUGAUAUUGAUGUCAAAAGACACUUAAAAAGUAAUAGAGGGAGUAUAACUUAAAUAUCCUGUAAAUGGAUUAUUUGAUAGAUCCAAUCUUCUAAUAGAUAGCUUUCCUGCUAGUGCUUAUGCCAAAGCUAUCCAAUUUACACAUGCUGAUACUGCAGCCAAAGCCCAAACCUGCAUUAUUGCAUUCCAAUGCAUGAUUAGUAUGUUGAUUUGUACUGUAAUUCAAUCCUUAUUGUAAUAGAAGUUAGUUAGAAGGGUUUGUUAGGAUAUCUAACUCACAUGACAGUUACUUGCUACACAAGGUAACUAGUUUAGUUUAGUUUAGAGAGAGUGCUAUAUAUAGCUUUUUAUUUUCAUAAAUAAAAGGUUAAGUGAAAUCAAGAACGUGAACAAAAUUGGCUUGACAAUGGUUAAUUAACUAAACAACAAUCUUAGCCAUUCGGUAUAAAGUAGAAACCAACACUGCAUGAACUGAACUGCAAUAUCUUUGUUGUUGAUGCUUGGCUCCUUCCGAUGUUUCGGAGCUCAUUGUAAAGAGAUGAUUAAAUGGGAUAAAACUUAUGAAUUCUAGCUAAAUUACAUAUGGAUAAAAACACACAAUAUAUUCAUUCAGAUUACAAACUUACAACCCAAAAUCAAACCACAAAAAUGAAACUAUGACAUUGGCACCAACUGAGUAGAACCAUUGGUUCUCCUCACUCUAAUCCUCCUCCUGUUCACUCUUCUCUUAGGCUGACCACCAAAUAUCAUCACAAGCCAUCUUGGCUUUCCAAUCAAAAACACAAAAUAACCAAGGCUUAUUCCAAUCACAAAUCCACAUCCAUAUCCAAUUGCCACUGGUCUCCAUCCAAAUCCAAUUUUCUCUUCACUCCUAAAGUUGUUGGCUGGAGGUGGAGGUGGAGAAUGAGGUUCAGGUCCACAUUUCUUUGACAAUGGAAAUCCACAUAGCCCCAAGUUUCCUUCAUAUGAAUCAUUUGUAAAUGUAUUGAAUUGUGUUCCUUGAGGUAUUUCUCCCACAAGAUGGUUAUUUGAAAGAUUNNNNUCUAUUAUGGGAAAGGUUAAGGCCUUUGAGUGCAUGAAGCUCUCCAAUAGCAUUUGGAAUCUCUCCUUCAAAAUUGUUUCUUGACAAAUCAAUACUUACAAACAAUUUUGGAAUUCUCACCAGUGUCAUAAUAAUUAUGUAAAAAAUUACUAUUUAAGGUCUUAAAAAAUACCCCGGACCCUCGCUAACAUUUGCCUUACUUUAUUUAUAUGGACAGUCUUGAAAACCUUGAUAUGUGAACGUUGCUAUUAAUUACUUGGAAAAGGCAUCUGCAGAGAGUCUACAAGAAGAUCAUAUGAAAUUGAAAACUAUUGGUUGUGUCUUUGUGAAUUUUGUAAAAUCAAAUUUCUNNNNNNNNNNNNNNNNNNNNNNNNNNNNNNNAGCAAUCUUUAGAUGAUUCUCAUGAAGCAAUGAGCAGUACAAGUGUACAACCUUUUACAUUAUGUAGCAUUAGUAACAAACUUAAACAAAUUAAGCACUUUUAAGGAUAUUGGUAUAAACUUUUUAGCUUAGUUUCUCACUUAUGAUUCCUUCAAGUGAUCCAACAAGACUCAAUACUGUCACCAAAAAACAAACAAAGCUAAAAAUCCUAAGAAAAAUCCAUUUUGUAGACCAAGAUUCAAUUUUAUUGUGCACAAAAUACAUCUCUACUGGGAAAUAUAUAGCUGAUGCAUGAAAUGUAGAUGUAGAAAUUGUUAGAAGGAAUUAUGAAGAAAAUUAGUCACAGUAGUAUACUUUUACAUACAAAAGCAUUUUUGAGGGAGGAAGUACAAAUUAUUAGUCAUCAUAAUUCAUAAUCAUAAUAAUAUAUAGAGUAGAAUUAUAAGCAGAAGUUAAUCACCUGUUCUCCUGAAAGGCUCUUCAACUAACACCUCGCCGGAAGAAGAGUAGUGAUCAAUCAACAGAGCGUUGUCUAUAAAUUCUUCCUCUCCCAUUGAUUUCUAUGACUCUUCCUUCCUUCAAUGGUGGGUCAAUGUGCUUCUCAAUAAUAAUAACCAGCUACAAGAACAAUAUAUAAGUCAAAACUUUAGUGUGACUUGUUAUUCAUUUUAGAUUCCAAUUUCCAACACGCAAGAAUGUGAUGUGAGGCAUAGUUAUUAUAGGUUGUAUGUGCACCAGAAAAUUUUCCAAUUAAAAACACAUAACUCUGAGUUUCCUUCAUAUGAAUCAUUUGUAAACGUAUCAAACUGCUUUCCUUGAGGUAUUUUUCCCACAAGAUGGUUAUUUGAAAGAUCCAAGAAUUCAAGGAAACCUAAAUUGGUUAAUUAUAUUGCGGUCGCAAUUGCAGUUGUCAUCAUCAAUUAAAAGAUAUGAUAUUAUUAACAUUAACAAACACAUAUCAGAAUAAAAUCAACAAGGUGACAACAAUAUCACAAUAUUUAUGGAUCAUUCAUGCUGAGAAAUAAUUAAAUAAUUAUUAUAUUACUUAGGAUAAACCCAUAUGCAUGAAAAAUUAGAACUUGAUAUGAAAACCUAUAAUUCAUUAUACUAAAAACAACAAAUGCUGUUUGAUUUUAAGCUUUGAGUUUUUGAUUUUGAGUUAUUGUUUGGAACUUUGUGUUAUUGAUUUUGGAACUUUGAUUUUGAUUUUUAAGCUAGUUUUAAGUUCUGAUCCCACAAUUGCUUGGUCCCUCUUUUUACUUUUUUUUUUCUUGGUAGUUUUGAUUCUUUGGACAUAAUUGAAAUUAAUCUACAACAGGUGUUCAUGAGUUGUCAAUUGCUUUACAUGUUCACAUUUGGAGCUACUUCAAUACUCUAUUUUAUGAUGAUUAUUGGUCAUUGUGGAAGGAUCAUCACUACUAUUUUAAUCAUAGUGCAAGUGUAAUUCAAUCCUUAUUGUAAUAUAAGUUUGUUAGAAGGGUUUGUUAGGAUACCUAACUCACAUGACAGUUACUUGCUACACAAGGUAACUAGUUUAGUUUAGAGAGAGUGCUAUAUAUAGCUUUUUAUUUUCAUAAAUAAAAGGUUAAGUGAAAUCAAGAACGUGAACAAAAUUGGCUUGACAAUGGUUAAUUAACUAAACAACAAUCUUAGCCAUUCGGUAUAAAGUAGAAACCAACACUGCAUGAACAGAACUGCAAUAUCUUUGUUGUUGACGCUUGGCUCCUUCCGAUGUUUCGGAGCUUAUUGUAAAGAGAUGAUCUUAGUUCUUUUAUUGCUUUACCUGAUCAUGUUAACCGUAAUAAAAACACUGCAUUAGUCUUAAAAAAUAGUUUUCUAUGAUCAGUAUCAUUAUGUGAUUCAAUUAUGAUAGAACAAAAAGUAAUAAACUAAUGAAAACAGGAGAAAAAGAAAAGCAAUGUUACAAAAUUAUAAUUUAGACUGUGUAAACUUGGUGUAGAGAGAACCAAAUAUGAAAUAUUCUAUGGAGGUGAGGACUGAGGGGAAUACUUAGAGUGUGACAUAAUUCAGAUGAGAUUGUCUGUCAUAAGAUAUCAUUUCAUCACUAAACUUUGAUGCAAAAUUUUCAUCUUAUUUUAUUAUUAAAAAAAAUAUAAUUUCUCAUCUGAUUCUAACUGAAAUGCAUAUAUAUAUAUUUGAGAUAACUUCACAGUACAAACUGUAUUUUUAUAGGUUUUGGAUAAAAAGUGAAUUCUAGCUAAAUUACAUAUGGAUAAACUUGCAAUUUUAUUAAUUAAAAACACACAAUAUAUUCAUUCAGAUUACAAACUUACAACCCAAAAUCAAACCACAAAAAUGAAACUAUGACAUUGGCACCAUCUGAGUUGAACCAUUGGUCCUCCUCACUCUAGCCCUUCUCCUGUUCACUCUUCUCUUAGGCUGACCACCAAAUAUCAUCACAAGCCAUCUUGGCUUUCCAAUCAAAAACACGAAAUAUCCAAUGCCUAUUCCAAUCACAAAUCCACAUCCAUAUCCAAUUGCCACUGGUUUCCAUCCAAAUCCAAAUUUCUUUUCACUCCUAAAGUCGUUGGCUGGAGGUGGAGGUGGAGAAUGAGUUUCAGGUCCACAUUUCUUUGACAAUGGAAAUCCACAUAGCCCCAAGUUUCCUUCAUAUGAAUCAUUUGUAAAUGUAUUGAAUUGUGUUCCUUGAGGUAUUUCUCCCACAAGAUGGUUAUUUNNNNNNNNNNNNNNNNNNNNGGGAAAGGUUAAGGCCUUUGAGUGCAUGAAGCUCUCCAAUAGCAUUUGGAAUCUCUCCUUCAAAAUUGUUUCUUGACAAAUCAAUACUUACAAACAAUUUUGGAAUUCUCACCAGUGUCAUUUCGUUACCUUUUGUUGUCACAGUCACAGAAUCAGUACUGCAUCCGUCAUAGUACUCUGAACACCAAGGAUCCAUGUAUAUCAAACUGCUAUCCCCACCAACUUGAGUAACAUUCUUCAUGGCUUCAUAAUUUUUGUAAUAGGCUUUUGGUAGAAAACCACUAAAAUUGUUGCCCGAGAUAUCAAAAAUGACUAAACUUGGAAAUAGAUGUUUGAUCUUUAAAUUGGCAAUGGGACCAUGGAACCUGUUGUCUCUCAAAACCAGCACUUUCAAAUCUUGUAGAGUUUGAAGCCAGUCGGGAAAUUUGUCUUCUAAUCUGUUGCUUCCAAGAUUUAAAAUGUUCAGGUAUUUGCAAUGGGACAAAGAUUUAGGCAAAAGGCCUUCUAAUAGGUUUCCAUUAAGAUUUAGAAUGGAAAUGUCCUUUGAAAAGUUACUUGGCAAAGUGCCAUGAAAUUUGUUCAUCUGUAGAUCCAAAAAUUGAAGGGAUUGAAAAUUUGAAAAACAUUGUGGAAUGAUACCACUCAAAUUGUUGUGUCCC